UGGAUCCAGACUUUGAUUAUGGCUCAGGAUGAACGCUAGCUACAGGCUUAACACAUGCAAGUCGAGGGGAAACGAUAUUGGAAGCUUGCUUCCGAUAGGCGUCGACCGGCGCACGGGUGAGUAACGCGUAUCCAACCUGCCCACCACUUGGGGAUAACCUUGCGAAAGUAAGACUAAUACCCAAUGAUAUCUCAAGAAGACAUCUGAAUGAGAUUAAAGAUUUAUCGGUGAUGGAUGGGGAUGCGUCUGAUUAGCUUGUUGGCGGGGUAACGGCCCACCAAGGCGACGAUCAGUAGGGGUUCUGAGAGGAAGGUCCCCCACAUUGGAACUGAGACACGGUCCAAACUCCUACGGGAGGCAGCAGUGAGGAAUAUUGGUCAAUGGGCGAGAGCCUGAACCAGCCAAGUAGCGUGCAGGAAGACGGCCCUAUGGGUUGUAAACUGCUUUUAUAAGGGAAUAAAGUGAGUCUCGUGAGACUUUUUGCAUGUACCUUAUGAAUAAGGACCGGCUAAUUCCGUGCCAGCAGCCGCGGUAAUACGGAAGGUCCGGGCGUUAUCCGGAUUUAUUGGGUUUAAAGGGAGCGUAGGCCGGAGAUUAAGCGUGUUGUGAAAUGUAGAUGCUCAACAUCUGCACUGCAGCGCGAACUGGUUUCCUUGAGUACGCACAAAGUGGGCGGAAUUCGUGGUGUAGCGGUGAAAUGCUUAGAUAUCACGAAGAACUCCGAUUGCGAAGGCAGCUCACUGGAGCGCAACUGACGCUGAAGCUCGAAAGUGCGGGUAUCGAACAGGAUUAGAUACCCUGGUAGUCCGCACGGUAAACGAUGGAUGCCCGCUGUUGGUCUGAAUAGGUCAGCGGCCAAGCGAAAGCAUUAAGCAUCCCACCUGGGGAGUACGCCGGCAACGGUGCAACUCAAAGGAAUUGACGGA
This 926-nucleotide ribosomal RNA is filed under the name uncultured bacterium. RNAcentral describes it as "bacterial SSU rRNA". It matches the Rfam family "Bacterial small subunit ribosomal RNA", at positions 1 to 917 of the family's 1533-position model. The record is from RNAcentral. RNAcentral also lists the same sequence under 1 other name.